AUUGGAGGUAGAGCACUGUUUGGACGAGGGGCCCCUCUCGGGUUACCGAAUUCAGACAAACUCCGAAUGCCAAUUAAUUUAACUUGGGAGUCAGAACAUGGGGGAUAAGGUCCGUGUUCGAAAGGGAAACAGCCCAGACCACCAGCUAAGGUCCCAAAAUAUAUGUUAAGUGGAAAAGGAUGUGGCGUUGCCCAGACAACUAGGAUGUUG
This 210-nucleotide ribosomal RNA is filed under the name Staphylococcus aureus. RNAcentral's name for it is "partial 23S ribosomal RNA". It matches the Rfam family "Bacterial large subunit ribosomal RNA", at positions 895 to 1103 of the family's 2925-position model. The record is from RNAcentral. Lineage: Bacteria; Bacillati; Bacillota; Bacilli; Caryophanales; Staphylococcaceae.